UAGGGAAUCUUCGGCAAUGGGGGGAACCCUGACCGAGCAACGCCGCGUGAGUGAAGAAGGUUUUCGGAUCGUAAAGCCCUGUUGUUAAGGAAGAAAGAGUGUGAGAAUGGAAAGUUCAUGCUGUGACGGUACUUAACCAGACAGGGACGGCUAACUACGUGCUAGCAGCCGCGGUAAUACGUAGGUCCCGAGCGUUGUCCGGAUUUAUUGGGCGUAAAGCGAGCGCAGGCGGUUAGAAAAGUCUGAAGUGAAAGUCAGUGGCUCAACCAUUGUAGGCUUUGGAAACUGUUUAACUUGAGUGCAGAAGGGGAGGGGGGAAUUCCAUGUGUAGCGGUGAAAUGCGUAGAUAUAUGGAGGAACACCGGUGGCGAAAGCGGCUCUCUGGUCUGUAACUGACGCUGAGGCUCGAAAGCGUGGGGAGCGAACAGG
RNAcentral lists this ribosomal RNA (429 nucleotides) under Bacteroidota bacterium. Its description in RNAcentral is "Bacteroidetes bacterium partial 16S ribosomal RNA". It matches the Rfam family "Bacterial small subunit ribosomal RNA", at positions 355 to 776 of the family's 1533-position model. The record is from RNAcentral. Lineage: Bacteria; Pseudomonadati; Bacteroidota.